Molecule: long non-coding RNA, 2391 nt
Filed under: Homo sapiens (human)
Lineage: Eukaryota; Metazoa; Chordata; Mammalia; Primates; Hominidae
Description: HSALNT0402590
Source: RNAcentral
AUUUGGCGGGAUCUGUGUCUCUCGCUGGUGCUGGCACAGGAGCUUGGGAUCUGUCUCCUCUUUCGCCUCCUGCACCUUGAGAGCCCUGGGCUACUCUGUCACAGCCCCUGUUGCCCUGCGAUCUGUAGGUCCUUGGGGACGCAUAGUUAAGGUGCCAGGACAUCCUGGAAGCUGGGAAAUGGCUGAAUGCUAUCCAGUGAAUAUACGUGCCCUGUUUGUUGAAUCUACUCAUCCUUAAAGAUAUGUAUUCAUUUCCUACCACCGUAGUGGAAGAGAGAUUUUCCCUAUCUUUACAACUGAUAGCAUUUCCAACAGUAAGCUGUGAGAUUCUGCUUGAAAUCACCUCUCAAACAAAUAAAAAACAGACCUGGGAGACAUGCUACACUCAUUCUGCUGAGGAAAUAGGCAUCAUAGCUGGGAAACGGAUUCACAAGACCCAGGCUGUUCCCUACAUAUGUUUCCUCCUCCGACAUCAGUUCAUCAGUCAAUCAAGCCAUGUGAGAGUGGAGGCCUUGUAUUCCCUAUUAUUCUUGGGCACUCUACUCCAAGUAGGAAAAGGCCAGGAGGUCCUGUUAAAGGAUGCACUCAGAGCCCGGGCUCCCUAACAUAUGAGAGUGCUAACCAGCAGGUGUAGACUUUUCAGGAGUGAAGAAUGAGGCAGGCAUUCCAAACCUGGACCUUCAUCACCUUUUGUUUCAUCUCAAGACAAUUCUGAGGGACUGUUUUGGAGCGUGUCUGGAAGGUGAACCUUGAAGAAGAGUGUGGGCUUUGAUGUGACUCAGUUGAGAUCUUUCAUGGGGAGGCAGGAAUUCAAUGCCCAGAAUCUGGGCUGGUGUCUUUGAGGUCAGUAGGUUGCGUCUUUGUAUCCAAGUCCAUUGUUACUAGGUUGGAGGCUGGAGAUUCUAAAUGGCUUCCAGACCAUCUCUCUGAUUCUCUUUGGGAGAUGGGGUCUGAAAGACAAUGUCAGUAGUUUUGGGAAAUUCUAGAAAGUGUGCUUGGAAACGUGGGAAGAGCUCUUGCCUAGUGCCUAAAUGCUCCAUUUGCAGCUCUAGCCAAGUAGAUACUUGGUAGGUAUAGAGCCGGGUUUGCGUUUAUAUCAGCAAAACCUAUGUCAGAGUUGAAGAAGUAGUCAGGAAAAAGCGUCUUGGUCGCAGGCCGGGGAACAUCUUAAAAGCAAACUUCUAGCCUGCUGACUCUUGGCAAUGAGUGUUGGAUCCUGGCUAAAGUGCCUUGAAUGCAGCAUGAGGCCAAUCCAUGAAUCCAACUUCUCAUGGAGAAAUGUUAAUAUUUUUUCAGUUUGAAUCAAUCAGGGUGAAACUACCAUGCUAUUGGUUUGCUUACUUUUUAUUAUUUCAUGUAAAAUCUAAGACAAAAUACAUUAAAUGCUUAUUGACAUAUGUAUUUAUUCUUCACCAGGCUGAUAAUAUCUGCCUAAUUUUAAACUUUCUUCCAUUUUGUAGGUUUCAACUUAUUCUAUUGUAAGAUACUGUUAAAUCUAAUAGAGGCAUUGUCACUUUUACGUAUAAUUUUAUUUUAUUUCAUAUAUUUCCUAUUGGCUUUUUACAUUUAAAUUAUGGAGCACUUCAUCAUAUAAAAAACUUCAAUUAUAUUUAAACAGUAAGUCUUUGGAUUUUUUUGCCUUGUAAUUUCCAUAUUACAUAAUAAUGAGAUAAACAUUAAUGUUUUCAGGGUACUUUAAAUUUUAGAUAAUUACUCAUUGUAUUCAUGUGAAAUUUGUUUUUACUGCAUGUGUGGGUUGGAGGACUGUUUUCACUUCUGAUUCAUCUUUACUCUUAUCUCAUCAGAGCUCAUACCUCUUGUAGUUGGGGGAUUGCAGUUUAUAAUUCCAAUAAAUGGGGCAAAUUCAAUAAUAACAUAAUACAAAUGAGUUUGAAUGCAGGACAGGUCUUCAAAGCAUACACAACAUGGGCCUACAUAUGUACAACAAUAAUAAUUUAUAAGUUACUGUUUGGAUGGAAAGUAAAAGUACAGAAAAUUUGUUAAAGGAAAUUAAAAUGGAGAUCAUGUCUCAAUAAUCUCUGAGCAGACAAAAUUAGUUAGGUCUCAUAAGUGAUCUCAACCUCGCUUGAUUUGCAAAUACAAACAAAACUUAAAUUAUUUCUUGUAGCUGCAUAUUGAAAAAAGAGAAAUGAAGCUCAACCAGUCAGAAGUAGCCAACAACCUUAUAUAAAUAGAAACUGUCCAACAAGGUAAACAGACAAACAAAAAACAAUAAAAAAAGUUGUGCUACCACCAAAUGAUUUCUUUGUUUCUACAUUUUUCAAAUAAAUACUUGCUUCUUACACUGUCAAUGAAGCACUCAAUAUCUUUCCGUCUGAUAUUUUAUAAUUUAUCAAUUGCUCUUACUCAAAUAAACACUUUGCAAUUUCA